GCCAGUGUAGCUCAGGGGUAGAGCAACUGAUUCGUAAUCAGUAGGUCAGGGGUUCAAUUCCCCUCACUGGCU
Molecule: transfer RNA, 72 nt
Filed under: Verrucomicrobiota bacterium
Lineage: Bacteria; Pseudomonadati; Verrucomicrobiota
Description: Verrucomicrobia bacterium tRNA-Thr
Rfam family: tRNA
About the family: Transfer RNA (tRNA) molecules are approximately 80 nucleotides in length. Their secondary structure includes four short double-helical elements and three loops (D, anti-codon, and T loops). Further hydrogen bonds mediate the characteristic L-shaped molecular structure. tRNAs have two regions of fundamental functional importance: the anti-codon, which is responsible for specific mRNA codon recognition, and the 3' end, to which the tRNAs corresponding amino acid is attached (by aminoacyl-tRNA synthetases). tRNAs cope with the degeneracy of the genetic code in two manners: having more than one tRNA (with a specific anti-codon) for a particular amino acid; and 'wobble' base-pairing, i.e. permitting non-standard base-pairing at the 3rd anti-codon position.
Source: RNAcentral